RNAcentral lists this ribosomal RNA (253 nucleotides) under uncultured bacterium. RNAcentral's name for it is "partial 16S ribosomal RNA". It matches the Rfam family "Bacterial small subunit ribosomal RNA", at positions 524 to 776 of the family's 1533-position model. The record is from RNAcentral.
UACAGAGGGUGCGAGCGUUAAUCGGAGUUACUGGGCGUAAAGAGCGCGCAGGCGGUCGUUCAAGUCGCGUGUGAAAGCCCCCGGCUCAACUGGGGAGGGUCACGCGAUACUGAUCGACUCGAAGGCAGGAGAGGGAAGUGGAAUUCCCGGUGUAGUGGUGAAAUGCGUAGAUAUCGGGAGGAACACCAGUGGCGAAGGCGACUUCCUGGCCUGUUCUUGACGCUGAGGCGCGAAAGCUAGGGGAGCAAACGGG